Molecule: non-coding RNA, 521 nt
Organism: Dermacentor andersoni
Lineage: Eukaryota; Metazoa; Arthropoda; Arachnida; Ixodida; Ixodidae
Source: RefSeq, a predicted model, not a curated record
ACUAUUGUGCCAGAGCUCUCCAGCACGAACCUGAUCUGCUACGCGUGAGCGAGCUGCCGCGGGAAAGCUGUCUUUUCGUGCUUCUCACACGACGAAGAUGAGCAGGACAACGAGCUACCCAGAAUGUCUCCGAGGUACCCGGAACGGCGCCCCUCUGACGUCGGCUCCAGACCUUCGCACCUGUGUGUUUGCGUGUGUGUGGGCGUAAACUGUGCUGCGGAACGGCGCCCCUCUGUCGCCGGCGCCGGGCAUCAGAAUGUGUGUGCCGAUGUGUACGUAAACUGUUCUGCGGGGCGGCGGCAAGUUGACAAUGAGUAAACGAACGUUCGCGCCGCCUUGUAUCGCCGGCGGACCGAGUGUAUAAAAACUGCUGUUGUGCGGAUGCUCGAUACACUUCUCUCGUGCAGUCAGGUUGGACUGACACACUUUCUCUUGAGCAGUCAUGUUGGACUGACACUCUUUUUCUUAAGCAGUCAUGUUAGACUGAUUUAAAUACUGUAAAUAAACCCAUUUUCCUCGUU